RNAcentral lists this ribosomal RNA (504 nucleotides) under Triticum aestivum (bread wheat). RNAcentral's name for it is "partial small subunit ribosomal RNA". Lineage: Eukaryota; Viridiplantae; Streptophyta; Magnoliopsida; Poales; Poaceae. The record is from RNAcentral.
AUGAGACCUUGUGAAGCAGUUGCGUCAGAAGUAGUGGUGUAUGUGGUGGACAAUGACAGCCGUGGAGAGUCCGAAUUUGAAGAAUGGUCUGACGAUGCUCAUGAAAGGAUGGUUGACAUUGACAGGAGGCUGAGGGAGCAGGAAGCUAAAGAUGCAGAAGUGGCAAGGAAGUGUGAGGAAGAUGCAGAAAAGGAAGCAAAAGAGCAACAUGCAAAAGAUGAAGAACUUGCAAGGAAAUGUCAAGAGAAGAUGGAGCAGAACGCGAGGGACCAAGUGGCAACUGAUAAUCAUGUUGCACGUAUGUACCAGAAGCUUUAUGACCAGAACGCUACUGACGAGCAGAUCAAGAAGGUGUGUGCACGUGGUGUGGGUGAUGAUGCAGGGAGGACAAGGACAGGGGAACGGCGAUCAUCAGAUGUAGUGGUUCAGAAAAGCUUAGAUGAUUUUUUCUACUGUCGGAGUGGCAUGUCCUUGGAAGGAGUGAGUACAGGUAAUGGUGUUUAA